AUACGUAGGUGGCGAGCGUUGUCCGGAAUUACUGGGUGUAAAGGGCGUGUAGGCGGGUUAGCAAGUCAGAUGUGAAAUCCUGGGGCUCAACUCCAGAGCUGCAUCUGAAACUGUUAAUCUUGAGUACUGGAGAGGAAAGCGGAAUUCCUAGUGUAGCGGUGAAAUGCGUAGAUAUUAGGAGGAACACCAGUGGCGAAGGCGGCUUUCUGGACAGUAACUGACGCUGAGGCGCGAAAGCGUGGGGAGCAAACAGGAUUAGAUACCCUGGUAGUCCACGCCGUAAACGAUGGAUACUAGGUGUAGGAGGUAUCGACCCCUUCUGUGCCGGAGUUAACACAAUAAGUAUCCCACCUGGGGAGUACGGCCGCAAGGUUGAA
RNAcentral lists this ribosomal RNA (377 nucleotides) under uncultured bacterium. RNAcentral's name for it is "bacterial SSU rRNA". It matches the Rfam family "Bacterial small subunit ribosomal RNA", at positions 523 to 898 of the family's 1533-position model. The record is from RNAcentral.